AAUCUCAUGAAAAUUAGAAUUUUUGAAGAAAAACAAAAUACUAAAAUGCUCUCUUUUACUCUCUGUAGCUCGAAGAGGAUGAAAAGAAGAAAUAAUGGAUGAUUUCCAAUUGAUUCAAGUGAAGAAGAAGAUGAUGAUGAUGAAGAAAAUUUAAAGAAAAUCAGCAGAUGGAUUGAGCUUGGAGGUUACAACAGAAACAAGUAAUUUGCAUCAACUCCUUUCAAUAUACCAUCCAUCUGUGGUUGAGCUUUCAAACAAGUAGUGUGCUCAAAGUGUAAUUUAGAUAGAUGACUAUUUGAGGAGAGGCUCAAUGGUCCUUUGUUCGAGGAAAAAUUGGAACGAUUAUAGAUUUAUAAGAUAAAAUAACUAUCUUCAAUGAUAUGAAACCUUACUUUUAAGUGAAA
Benincasa hispida (wax gourd) is the source of this 404-nucleotide long non-coding RNA. RefSeq lists it as uncharacterized. NCBI's taxonomy places the organism in Eukaryota, Viridiplantae, Streptophyta, Magnoliopsida, Cucurbitales, Cucurbitaceae. The record is from RefSeq and is a predicted model, not a curated record.